UACGUAAGCAGCAAGCGUUGUUCGGAGUUACUGGGCGUAAAGGGUGCGUAGGCGGUCCUAUAAGUAUGGUGUGAAAUCUCCCGGCUUAACUGGGAGGGUGCGCUAUAGACUGUGGGACUAGAGUGUGGGAGAGGAAAGUGGAAUUCCUGGUGUAGCGGUGAAAUGCGUAGAUAUCAGGAGGAACACCGGUGGUGUAAACGGCUUUCUGGACCAUAACUGACGCUGAGGCACGAAAGCGUGGGUAGCAAACAGG
Molecule: ribosomal RNA, 253 nt
Filed under: uncultured bacterium
Lineage: Bacteria
Description: partial 16S ribosomal RNA
Rfam family: Bacterial small subunit ribosomal RNA
Source: RNAcentral